Molecule: ribosomal RNA, 292 nt
Filed under: uncultured bacterium
Lineage: Bacteria
Description: partial 16S ribosomal RNA
Rfam family: Bacterial small subunit ribosomal RNA
Source: RNAcentral
GUGUCAGCAGCCGCGGUAAUACGGAGGGGGCCAGCGUUGUUCGGAAUCAUUGGGCGUAAAGGGCGCGUAGGCGGCCGAUCAAGUCCGACGUGAAAUUCCCCGGCUCAACCGGGGGCCUGCGUCGGAUACUGCUCGGCUCGAGUCCCGGAGAGGGUAGUGGAAUUCCCAGUGUAGCGGUGAAAUGCGUAGAUACUGGGAGGAACACCGGUGGCGAAGGCGGCUACCUGGACGGGUACUGACGCUGAGGCGCGAGAGCUAGGGGAGCAAACAGGAUUAGAUACCCUCGUAGUCC